AUUCUGGCUCAGGAUGAACGCUAGCUACAGGCUUAACACAUGCAAGUCGAGGGGAAACGAUAGAGAAAGCUUGCUUUUUCUAGGCGUCGACCGGCGCACGGGUGAGUAACGCGUAUCCAACCUGCCCAUCACUUGGGGAUAACCUUGCGAAAGUAAGACUAAUACCCAAUGACGUCCAUAGAAGACAUCUGAAAUGGAUUAAAGAUUUAUCGGUGAUGGAUGGGGAUGCGUCUGAUUAGCUUGUUGGCGGGGUAACGGCCCACCAAGGCGACGAUCAGUAGGGGUUCUGAGAGGAAGGUCCCCCACAUUGGAACUGAGACACGGUCCAAACUCCUACGGGAGGCAGCAGUGAGGAAUAUUGGUCAAUGGGCGAGAGCCUGAACCAGCCAAGUAGCGUGCAGGAUGACGGCCCUAUGGGUUGUAAACUGCUUUUAUAAGGGAAUAAAGUGAGAGUCGUGACUCUUUUUGCAUGUACCUUAUGAAUAAGGACCGGCUAAUUCCGUGCCAGCAGCCGCGGUAAUACGGAAGGUCCGGGCGUUAUCCGGAUUUAUUGGGUUUAAAGGGAGCGUAGGCCGGAGAUUAAGCGUGUUGUGAAAUGUAGACGCUCAACGUCUGCACUGCAGCGCGAACUGGUUUCCUUGAGUACGCACAAAGUGGGCGGAAUUCGUGGUGUAGCGGUGAAAUGCUUAGAUAUCACGAAGAACUCCGAUUGCGAAGGCAGCUCACUGGAGCGCAACUGACGCUGAAGCUCGAAAGUGCGGGUAUCGAACAGGAUUAGAUACCCUGGUAGUCCGCACGGUAAACGAUGGAUGCCCGCUGUUGGUCUGAAUAGGUCAGCGGCCAAGCGA
RNAcentral lists this ribosomal RNA (848 nucleotides) under uncultured Bacteroidota bacterium. RNAcentral's name for it is "bacterial SSU rRNA". It matches the Rfam family "Bacterial small subunit ribosomal RNA", at positions 16 to 854 of the family's 1533-position model. The record is from RNAcentral. Lineage: Bacteria; Pseudomonadati; Bacteroidota.